Molecule: long non-coding RNA, 2013 nt
Organism: Acanthopagrus latus (yellowfin seabream)
Lineage: Eukaryota; Metazoa; Chordata; Actinopteri; Spariformes; Sparidae
Exons: 6
Source: RefSeq, a predicted model, not a curated record
GGUCUAAUAUAGGAAAAUAACAUGGUCAACGUAGAUAGUAAAAAUCAGUAAAAUGUAUAAAAUAACUCAGCUCGACGGCAGAGGAGGGCAGCAGGAGUCUUCCUGUUUAAAAAACACCCCAAGCUACCAUGGUAUCUCCACCAGGUGUUAAAAAGUGGGGCAUGCCUGUAUGGUGGCUCCAAGGUUAAUAAAAUAAAUUGAAAUAAUUAUUAUAAUUAUAGAUAAGAGAUUUUUAAAAAAUGUUUAAAAUUCAUAAUACAUGCAGAAUAAUGGAAUUCUAUAGGUCCCACUUUAUAUUUCAUUAAUGGGACCGUUGGUAAAAACACCAACUAAUAAGUCAAUCCAUAAUUCAAUAAAUAAAUAUAUAGACGUAAAAGGAUAGUAUAAAACUUGAUAAAAGGUUAAUAAAACACCACACACAUCAGGUUAAUAAAAAAAGGGGGGGGGGAGCAAAUAUUUAAUAUGAAUUGUUAAACAAACACAGGAGAGGAACAUAUGAAAUCCACAAAAGUUCAGGUUAAAUAGUAAAAAGGAAGCUGCACUGCAACACAACAACAGCUUGUAGGCGAGACACCACGAGCGGCACUACGGGUCCAUAAAAGCAGGUUUAAAAAGUAGAAUUAUUCUUUUAAUAUUUUUUAUUUAGUCCGUACGGAUCUAUGGUUUUUAAGUCUGUGUAUCCACUUUUUCUCCGCCGCCGAAUGUGCCGCUGACCUCCGAUUUAAUUCUUCUAAGGAAGCGCUUCACUUCUCAGCGCACUAAAAAGAGUUUGGGUGGACUCCUCCUGCACAUGCUCCAGGAAGGUGCAGGUCCUAUUGAAGCAGAUCUGCUGGGACUUAAUCAGACCCCUGUACGUACGUUCAGGAUGGAAGCUGAUGUUUUCUGCAGUAGUCCGUGGUGGUUGGUGUCUUUGAAAUAGACUUUAGUUGCCAGUGUCUUGUUAGGGCCGCUGGAGUCGCAGAAGAAGAACCGUGUGUCCAGAAAUUCCACUGAAAGUUGAAAGAAUGUUUCAGUUUUAUUUUAGGAUCUGAAAGAAGGUUAAAAAUUCGCUCUCAGAUCCGUCCCAGAGACCAAUGAUAACAUCGAGGUAACUGUGAUAUAGGAGUGGUUGUUCGGUGAUCAUGUGAAAAGCCGUUUGUUCUCAGUCUGCUAAGAAAUUAUCGGCGUAAGAAGGUGAGUAUUUCCAGCCCGUGGCACAACUGCACAGCUGGAGAUAGUGAUUACUGUUACAAGUAAAGUCGUUGCAGUUCCCUGUGGGGCGGACAGGUAAAAAAACACAGGCUCCGCCCCUACGUUCCGUAAAGGUGAUCCGUUAAUUUGAGCCUCCUACGGAAGACGUAGAGGUCCCACCUCAGCUCCGGUUGGGUUGGAGGUUUGGAUGUGGGAAGGAAGAGUGUCAGAGGCAAAAUCCUUCUUCCAGAAAGUGUUUAGGAGUGCAUUGCGCGCCAUUUGGAAACUGAGAAAAAACUUAUUCUGGACAGGUGAGUGUUAACUGCACUAUCUCAUUUGUGUAGUUGGAAGCGAAGGGGUAAGUAGAAGCACAAUCAGUCAUUGUUGUGUUAACAUCGCUCUUUGUCUGUCUACAUGGAUUUUUGUUCAUCAAAGAAGAUUUGAAAGGAGACAAAGAUGAGUGAUAACAACAAUCAAUCCUGGGCGCCUCGGGCCUCUGGUGCCGGGGCACCUCUGCGCCCUCGCACUGCUGGUACCCAGCCACCUCCCCUCCCUCGGACCUCCGGUGCCCCACCACCAGUGCGCCGCCGGGCACCUCGGCGCCCUCCUGCCUCCACUGCCCCGGGCAACAUGCGGCAGGAGGAGGAAUGGCUCCUCCAGGCUGUUGAGCCUCUGCUGGAGCAGGAGGCGACUUCGCUCCAGAUACGUCAGCAACAUCCUGGAGAUGUAGGGGAAGGGAGUGAGCCGUCCCCCCCUUCCCUCCCGAAGAUCUCAAGGAGGAAUAAGUGAAUCAGUGUUUCCAGGUUUGUUUGUCAUUGUUCAGUGUUCUAAUAAAAGUUGUUC